AAGUGCUACAGCUCCUUUAGAAUUUGUCUAGCAGGUUUUCUGUUCUCUACCAGAAGACCCCA
This 62-nucleotide small nuclear RNA is filed under the name Otolemur garnettii (small-eared galago). RNAcentral describes it as "U7 small nuclear RNA". It matches the Rfam family "U7 small nuclear RNA". From Rfam's summary of the family: Animal histone pre-mRNAs are spliced by a different mechanism than nuclear pre-mRNAs and self-splicing introns. This processing involves the U7 snRNP, which contains only one RNA species: U7. The 5' end of U7 RNA is thought to base-pair to a conserved spacer element downstream of the cleavage site in histone pre-mRNA. The record is from Rfam by way of RNAcentral. Lineage: Eukaryota; Metazoa; Chordata; Mammalia; Primates; Galagidae.